UUUUUUUUUUAACCUAACCGCUACCGCCCGCAACCGCAAACGCUUGUGGGAAGGAGCUUUUGAAAUCUGGCGAUUUCGAGCGGUCCAAAGCGGUAUCUAGCGGUUUCUAUGAUUGGUGUCAACCGCUAAUAACCGCUAUCACCCGCAAACGCAGCGUUUGCGGGUGGCAGAGGGAGAACCAAUCAAGCCCUAAGUAACGAAGGUUAUUACAACAAUUAUGCCGAAAUAUAGUUGUAAAA
Molecule: small RNA, 239 nt
Filed under: Arabidopsis thaliana (thale cress)
Lineage: Eukaryota; Viridiplantae; Streptophyta; Magnoliopsida; Brassicales; Brassicaceae
Description: ATSL107190
Source: RNAcentral